Molecule: ribosomal RNA, 1262 nt
Filed under: Bacteroides fragilis
Lineage: Bacteria; Pseudomonadati; Bacteroidota; Bacteroidia; Bacteroidales; Bacteroidaceae
Description: bacterial SSU rRNA
Rfam family: Bacterial small subunit ribosomal RNA
Source: RNAcentral
GGGUGAGUAACACGUAUCCAACCUGCCCUUUACUCGGGGAUAGCCUUUCGAAAGAAAGAUUAAUACCCGAUAGCAUAAUGAUUCCGCAUGGUUUCAUUAUUAAAGGAUUCCGGUAAAGGAUGGGGAUGCGUUCCAUUAGGUUGUUGGUGAGGUAACGGCUCACCAAGCCUUCGAUGGAUAGGGGUUCUGAGAGGAAGGUCCCCCACAUUGGAACUGAGACACGGUCCAAACUCCUACGGGAGGCAGCAGUGAGGAAUAUUGGUCAAUGGGCGGUAGCCUGAACCAGCCAAGUAGCGUGAAGGAUGAAGGCUCUAUGGGUCGUAAACUUCUUUUAUAUAAGAAUAAAGUGCAGUAUGUAUACUGUUUUGUAUGUAUUAUAUGAAUAAGGAUCGGCUAACUCCGUGCCAGCAGCCGCGGUAAUACGGAGGAUCCGAGCGUUAUCCGGAUUUAUUGGGUUUAAAGGGAGCGUAGGUGGACUGGUAAGUCAGUUGUGAAAGUUUGCGGCUCAACCGUAAAAUUGCAGUUGAUACUGUCAGUCUUGAGUACAGUAGAGGUGGGCGGAAUUCGUGGUGUAGCGGUGAAAUGCUUAGAUAUCACGAAGAACUCCGAUUGCGAAGGCAGCUCACUGGACUGCAACUGACACUGAUGCUCGAAAGUGUGGGUAUCAAACAGGAUUAGAUACCCUGGUAGUCCACACAGUAAACGAUGAAUACUCGCUGAUUGCGAUAUACAGUAAGCGGCCAAGCGAAAGCAUUAAGUAUUCCACCUGGGGAGUACGCCGGCAACGGUGAAACUCAAAGGAAUUGACGGGGGCCCGCACAAGCGGAGGAACAUGUGGUUUAAUUCGAUGAUACGCGAGGAACCUUACCCGGGCUUAAAUUGCAGUGGAAUGAUGUGGAAACAUGUCAGUGAGCAAUCACCGCUGUGAAGGUGCUGCAUGGUUGUCGUCAGCUCGUGCCGUGAGGUGUCGGCUUAAGUGCCAUAACGAGCGCAACCCUUAUCUUCAGUUACUAACAGGUCAUGCUGAGGACUCUGGAGAGACUGCCGUCGUAAGAUGUGAGGAAGGUGGGGAUGACGUCAAAUCAGCACGGCCCUUACGUCCGGGGCUACACACGUGUUACAAUGGGGGGUACAGAAGGCAGCUAGCGGGUGACCGUAUGCUAAUCCCAAAAUCCUCUCUCAGUUCGGAUCGAAGUCUGCAACCCGACUUCGUGAAGCUGGAUUCGCUAGUAAUCGCGCAUCAGCCACGGCGCGGUGAAUAC